UAGUAGUGUGAAUAGUUCUUUGACCUGUGGUGCCUCAACUACUCAUAGUGCGGUUACUGUAGUUUGACCACAUAUAAAUAUGAUCUCCUAGAUAUUUGAAUAUUUGUGGUGUACGUUGGCUACAAUAGGUUCAUUAUAGAAAGAGAGUGUCAUUGAUCUUAGUAUAUAAGGAGUAGUCCUAUGAGAUUUGAGAAGUUGAGUCCUUAAGUCUGUCACCACAGUAAGAUGAUUGAUGGAAAGAAGUUUUCAUGAGUUUCAUAUUUGGACUUGAGCUAAUUGAAUCUUUCAUAUCAUAAAUGCUAGGGUUUGACGAGUCUUCCAUAACUUCCAUCUUGGUCGGGACUCACGAUAGAGAAACUAAAUUGCACAGUUACUACACCAGAGAUUCUAUUUAUUCUAUUCUACUGAAUGCCACCACAUGCUGCUAGGCAUCACUAGUAGAUUGUAAGAGCUCACUAGAAUCAUUUUGGAUCGAUGAUUCUUUUUGGGUGAGAGUUAGAAAUGUUCCAACAUAUUGAAAGGUGUUUCGAUUGUACUAUGAUGGAGAUCAUGGUAUGUCUUACUAUCAGAUAGAAUAAAAUCUAUAAGAUGACACACAAAA
This 601-nucleotide long non-coding RNA is filed under the name Elaeis guineensis (African oil palm). Its description in RNAcentral is "long non-coding RNA (EGUI_LNC071185)". The record is from RNAcentral. Lineage: Eukaryota; Viridiplantae; Streptophyta; Magnoliopsida; Arecales; Arecaceae.